CUCCGGGAACCGGGGCUAAUACCGGAUGGUUGUUUGAACCGCAUGGUUCAGACAUAAAAGGUGGCUUCGGCUACCACUUACAGAUGGACCCGCGGCGCAUUAGCUAGUUGGUGAGGUAACGGCUCACCAAGGCGACGAUGCGUAGCCGACCUGAGAGGGUGAUCGGCCACACUGGGACUGAGACACGGCCCAGACUCCUACGGGAGGCAGCAGUAGGGAAUCUUCCGCAAUGGACGAAAGUCUGACGGAGCAACGCCGCGUGAGUGAUGAAGGUUUUCGGAUCGUAAAGCUCUGUUGUUAGGGAAGAACAAGUGCCGUUCAAAUAGGGCGGCACCUUGACGGUACCUAACCAGAAAGCCACGGCUAACUACGUGCCAGCAGCCGCGGUAAUACGA
Molecule: ribosomal RNA, 395 nt
Filed under: Bacillus amyloliquefaciens
Lineage: Bacteria; Bacillati; Bacillota; Bacilli; Caryophanales; Bacillaceae
Description: bacterial SSU rRNA
Rfam family: Bacterial small subunit ribosomal RNA
Source: RNAcentral